GCGGCGGCUGCUUCGCGCAGUGAGGCCGGGUCCGCGCCGCGUCCUGCAGCGGCGCUGCCCCUCCCCUUCGCCCAGAUGCGUUAAUCCUCCCACAACAAAUCCUUCAACCUGCUCCCCGCCGCCACCCUCCCAGAGCGUCAACUUCUUUCGGCCUGGCCGGGUCUGGUGCUGAGGGGGCUGUUGGCUGCGGUGUCUAGGCGGGAAGUAGCGGCGCGGAAGCGGCGGCUGCGGCGGUGGGGGCAUGGGGGACCGCGAGCGAAGAGUCCGGGCAGCAUGUCCGUAGCUUGCUGGGCUUGUGCUGGUUCUGCUCCUGCAGACGAGCCCAGAGCACGGUGCGCGAGCAAGCUGCGUGUGCGUGUGUGUGUGUGUGUGUUUGGGGGGAAAGGGACGAAGAGAAGGGUUAGGGAAGGGGGAUGGGUGAUGAAAUAGGGUGCAGCCCUGGGAUCCCGACCGGCCGGGAAGGCCGAGUGGCAGAAGGGUCGGAGGAGGAGGGACGCCGAGCCGCCGACUCACUGCCUGCCGCCCGGCACCCGCCUCUCAAGGACCUGCAAGGGCCGGAGCGUGGGGAGUUACGGAAUAGACCCUGCUCCGGAAAAGGGACCGGGCUGCUGCUGGAGUUGGUGGGAAAACUGGGAACCGGAGGGAUUAGGGAGUUACCCUUGCUGCUUCAAACUGUUGUUCGUUUUCGCUCAAGAAAUUAAAGGAUCGGAGACAAUUUCUGUGUUCAAGUACCUCAGCCUCAAGGACCGUCCCGGCUGGGCGUGGAUUCCCGGAGGUGGAUGCUCCAGCCCCUGCUGUGGAACGCCGGCCAGAAGCUGUGCUUUGGCUCCUGUAACCUGCGGAGAGACACGCUUCGGAGCCCGCUGCUGCCACCUGCGGGUCGAAAGCUGAAGAGCGAAGUACCUGGUCCAGGUGGCGUUCCCUGGGGCUUAGGUAUUCGGGAACCGAGGGUCAAGGUGUUUUAUAGUCCUGGGUCACUUGUUAAAGCAAUUCUAACCAGUUUUCCCAGGAAGUGAAGAUGUGAUGUAGAGGUCCGCUGAGAUACCGAGUCGUUGGUAUGAAGUGGCAAAAUUGGUAAGAGAACGCUGUAGGAAACUGUAUAGCCAGUGUCUUCCCACACCCCCUUAAGAGAUUAAGACUGAUGAAACCACAUGGAGCAAAGAGCUUUCCCUAGGAAAUGGGAUUUGGCCCUACUGAUAAAGUGGUAUUUGUGUAGGAUAAUGUUAUGCUGGGAACCACAAAGCAGGAUCCCAAAUGACUGCUUCCUUUGAGUAAAUAUUUUGACAUAUCAAAAUGACUAACUAUAAAGAAAGUGAAUGGAACCCUAGUCUCCAGAAGCCUGGAACUGAAUUUUCAGAAAUGACUUGUCAGUUGUAGACAACCGAAAGGCAUUUGAUUUGUUACGUUUAUAGAAUGUGGGUAUUCUAUUACUAUAAUGAGACUGUCUGCUUUUAAUCGCCCCAUUUGUAAAUGGACUUUUCUCUGCAGUGUCUUCCAAAGUGUAGUCAAAUUACAAGGGCUCAGUAUGUGCUCUUAGCCAUCGCAGGCCCUAGCAAGUGAGACUGAAGCCAGAGGCAUCUAGGGGCAGUGUUUCUUUUAAUUAUUAUUAUUCUGUUGUUACACACAGGUUAGCUGUCCAAUAGUUGCUGGUGAUGCAGGUAUUUUGUAUUGCCAAGCAAAAAGAAAGCUGUAAGUUGAUGCUUUCUAGUGCUUGAAGAAGCUGCUGCCAUGUUGUGAAAAGCAUCCUAUUACCUUUUUAAAUUCGUAAUUGCAACAGUGCAUUUCUGUGGAUCUCUCUGGAAUCCUGCAUUAGUUUCCCUGCAGCCAGCAACAGUCUGGGUGGUCUUUAGGCUGCACACGUAAAAGGAAAGCAUAACGCUGGCUGUAGCUGACUCUCAGCACCCCACCCAUAGUCCCUGGACUCAGUAUAUGGCCAUCUUCCUUCUGCAUGCACCUGGGACUGUCUGCAGGCUUUUUCUACCCACAGGAGGUACUUGACUGGUAGUGAAGCUCAGUAAGCCACUUCACUCAAACCCUUGUGGCAGGGCUGCCUCUGGAGAAGCCCAGAAGAAGGCAAUCUUUCAAGGGCUUUUAUUCAUGAUCUGGCACCAUUGGCACUGUGUUAUUGGAAGAAUAAACCAGAAGCAUGUUCGGUGUUGAACAUUUACUGCGUGCACCCACUGCCUUACAUUCUACACUUACAUCGUCUCGUUCAUUACUCCGGAAACUGGAUACAUUUCUAGAGGUGAAUGUGUGAGACCAAGAAUGGACAAGACUGUGGCACUUUUGAUAAAUAAAAACCGAAUUCCUCUGAGGACUUUUAUCAGUUAACAUCUGUACGGAAUGUACUUGCCAUUUCCCCUGUGCCUUUGUAAGUAAUGAUAUUAGCAUUUUCAAGGAACUUUUUCAUCUUCUAUUUUAAUUUGCAUUUUUUGUACAGUGAUUACUUACUAGAUACCUACUAAAUAUGCCAAGAUGGUCCAUGGCUUUUAUAUCACACUGACUCUCACUUUUCUUUGGUGAUUCCUCCUGAAAGUUCAAGUCAAUUUCUAAUAAUAUUAUCCAGUGACAGAUUCUAUAGUACAGACCAUAACAGUAAAAAUCCAUUUAUCUAUGUGACCAAAAUGCUGGCCUUCAGAGAUGUUGAUAAGCCAAGAUGACAGAUUAUACCACGAUAAAAAUCAGAGCUGUGUUACGAUCAGUGCCUAAUCAUUCAUGUUUUUGUAUUAAAUGCCAUUUGGGUUAUAGCCUUCUAAAUUAAAUUAUUUAAAUUUGUGAUCGAUGUAAACUUCAUAAGAUCGGGUAAAGUGCCCUGAAUAUGCCGAGAUCUCAGUACCUAUAGGCUGGUGAUCAAUUGCACAUAUUAACUUAAAUAUGUUUCACAUUUUAAUCAU
Molecule: RNA transcript, 2894 nt
Organism: Camelus dromedarius (Arabian camel)
Lineage: Eukaryota; Metazoa; Chordata; Mammalia; Artiodactyla; Camelidae
Exons: 3
Source: RefSeq, a predicted model, not a curated record